UGCUGUUUCGCUGACGAGUGGCGGACGGGUGAGUAAUGUCUGGGAAACUGCCUGAUGGAGGGGGAUAACUACUGGAAACGGUAGCUAAUACCGCAUAAUGUCGCAAGACCAAAGAGGGGGACCUUCGGGCCUCUUGCCAUCGGAUGUGCCCAGAUGGGAUUAGCUAGUAGGUGGGGUAACGGCUCACCUAGGCGACGAUCCCUAGCUGGUCUGAGAGGAUGACCAGCCACACUGGAACUGAGACACGGUCCAGACUCCUACGGGAGGCAGCAGUGGGGAAUAUUGCACAAUGGGCGCAAGCCUGAUGCAGCCAUGCCGCGUGUAUGAAGAAGGCCUUCGGGUUGUAAAGUACUUUCAGCGGGGAGGAAGGGAGUAAAGUUAAUACCUUUGCUCAUUGACGUUACCCGCAGAAGAAGCACCGGCUAACUCCGUGCCAGCAGCCGCGGUAAUACGGAGGGUGCAAGCGUUAAUCGGAAUUACUGGGCGUAAAGCGCACGCAGGCGGUUUGUUAAGUCAGAUGUGAAAUCCCCGGGCUCAACCUGGGAACUGCAUCUGAUACUGGCAAGCUUGAGUCUCGUAGAGGGGGGUAGAAUUCCAGGUGUAGCGGUGAAAUGCGUAGAGAUCUGGAGGAAUACCGGUGGCGAAGGCGGCCCCCUGGACGAAGACUGACGCUCAGGUGCGAAAGCGUGAGGAGCAAACAGGAUU
This 705-nucleotide ribosomal RNA is filed under the name uncultured bacterium. Its description in RNAcentral is "bacterial SSU rRNA". It matches the Rfam family "Bacterial small subunit ribosomal RNA", at positions 78 to 779 of the family's 1533-position model. The record is from RNAcentral.